Molecule: long non-coding RNA, 11913 nt
Filed under: Hordeum vulgare
Lineage: Eukaryota; Viridiplantae; Streptophyta; Magnoliopsida; Poales; Poaceae
Description: long non-coding RNA (HVUL_LNC010429)
Source: RNAcentral
GUCAGUUUAUUGCUACUGUUUUCUGCAUGUCAAUGUAUCUGCUCCUAUGACCAUGAGAUCAUGCAACUCCCAGACACCGGAGGAAUACCUUGUGUGUAUCAAACGUCGCAACGUAACUGGGUGACUAUAAAGGUGCUCUACAAGUAUCUCCAAAGGUGUCUGUUGGGUUGGCAUGGAUCAAGACUAGGAUUUGUCACUCCGUGUGACGGAGAGGUAUCUCGGGGCCCACUCGGUAAUACAACAUCACGACAAGCCUUGCAAGCAAUGUGACUAAGGAGUUAUUUACAGAAUGUUGUAUUACGGAACGAGUAAAGAGACUUGCGAGUAACGAGAUUGAACUAGGUAUGCUGAUACCCACGAUCAAACCUCGGGCAAGUAAAAUACCGAAGGACAAAGGGAAUAGUAUACGGGGUUAUAUGAAUCCUUGACAUAGAGGUUCAACUGAUAGAGAUCUUUGUAGAAUAUGUAGGAGCCAAUAUGGACAUCUAGGUCCCGCUGUUGGUUAUUGACCAGAUAGUGUCUCAGGUCAUGUCUGCAUAGUUCUCGAACCCGCAGGGUCUGCACACUUAAGGUUCGGUGACGUUUCCGUAUAGUUGAGUUAUAUGUGUUGGUGACCGAAGUUUUGUCCGGAGUCCCGGAUGAGAUCUCGGACGUCACGAGGAGUUCCUAAAUGGUCCGGAAAUGAAGAUUGAUAUAUAGGAAGUUGGUAUUUGGAUUCUGAAAGGUUUUCGGGCAUUGCCCACAGUGUACCGGGAGUGACGAAUGGGUUCCGGGGGCCCACUGGGUGGGCCCACCACGCCCAAGGGGUCUACAUGGGUUUAUUGGAUGUGAUAAGGCAUAAUAGGCUGACAAAGUCAUCCAGGGAAUGCCCAUGAGGAAAAAGUGGAAAAUCCAAAAGAGGUGGGAAAUUAAGGAAGGAGUCCUAAUCCAAGUGGAGUUGGAGGAGGACUCCUGCCUCCUCCACUUCGGCCGACCCAAGGGAGCCUCCCUUUUGGCGCCAAGGCUGCCUCCUACCUCCUCCUAUAUAUACUGUAGGUUUAGGGCUUUUUGAGACACAACUUUGCCACGUGCUGCCCUCUCCUCUAGAUCGGUUUUCUGCGAAGCUCGGGCGGAGCCAUGCAGGAAUAGAUCACCACCACCAUCGGAGCGCCGCCACGCUACCGGGGAACUGAUCUACAUCCCCGUCUCUCUUUCUGGAUCAAGAAGGCGGAGAUCGUCAUCGAGCUAUACGUGUGCGGAACGCGGAGGUGACGUCCGUUCGACACUGGAUCGGGACGGAUCACGAGACGGUUCGUGGGAUGGAUCGUGAAGAUGUACCACUACAUCAACCGCGCUUAUUAACGCUUUCGCUUAGCGAUCUACAAGGGUAUGUGGAUCCGAUAUCCCUCUCGUAGAUGAUCAUCACCAUGAUAGGUCUUCGUGUGCAUAGGAAUUUUUUUAUUUCCCAUGCAACGUUCUCCAAGAGUAGCAUCAUGAGCUAGGUUCAUGUGUAGAUGUAAUCUCGAGUAGAACACAAAAGUUUUUGUGGGUGUUGAUGUUCGAUCUGCUGCCCUCCUUAGUCUUUUCUCGAUUCGGCGAUAUUGUUGGAUUGAAGUGGCCCGGAUCAACCUUACUCGUAUGCUUACGAGAGACCGGUUUCAUCGACUAACAUGCAACUUGUUGCAUAAAGAUGACUGGCGGGUGUUUGUUUCUUCAACUUUGGUUGAAUCAUAUUUGACCGAGGCUGUCCUUGGAGAGAGGUUAAAUAGCAAUUUGCACAUCACCGUUGUGGUAUUGCGUAAGUAAGAUGUGAUCAUAUGUCACGCCCAAGAUGCGACCCUAUCCUCAAUUUGGUACGAAGGCCUCGUCAGGGAUAGAAGCGCAUCUCGUCGUGUCGCAAGAAUGGAUAUCGUUACAAGUACAUGUACUGAAAAGAUGAGAUAUAAAUAGAAUUAUCUUACACUCGCCACAAGCUACAUCAGAGUCAUAGCAGUACAAUACAUAAUCAUCAUGAAUAAGAGCAGGGUCCGACUACGGACGAAAACAAACGAGAAAAAAAGAACGGCGUCCAUCCUUGCUAUCCCAUGCUGCCGGCCUGGAACCCAUCCUAGAUCGAUGAUGAAGAAGAAGAAGAAGCAACUCCAAACGAACAAUCAACGCGCUCGCGUCAAAUAACCUUUACCUGUACCUGCAACUUGUGUUGUAGUAAUCUGUGAGCCGCAGGGGACUCAGCAAUCUCAUUUCCAAAGGUAUCAAGACUAGCAAAGCUUAAUGGGUGAGGUAUGGUUAAGUGGUGAGGUUGCAGUAGCGGCUAAGCAUAUAUUUGGUGGCUAACUUACGAGUACAAGAAAAUAAGAGGGGGAAGAUCUACGCAUAGCGGACGUGAACUACACAUGAUCAAAUGAAUGAUCCUGAACACCUACCUACGUCAGACAUAGCCCCACCAUGUCCUCGAUCGGAGAAGGAACUCACGAAAGAGAUAGUCACGGUUACGCACACAGUUGGCAAGUUUUAAUUAAGUUAACUUCAAGUUAUCUAGAACCAGUGUUAAACAAAGUUUCCACGUUGCCACAUAACCGCGGGCACGGCUUUCCGAAAGAUUUAACCCUGCAGGGGUGCUCCAAUGAGUCCAUCACAAAUUACCACAAGCCGCAUAGAAAUCCUCAAUCACGAAGCUCGCGAUCUCGUCGGAUUCCCUAGUGGAAAACCUCAACUCUGAGAUUACCCAAAGCAUCACCAGAAUCCCGAUGCACAAGAUAUCUCGUCAAAGGUAAAACUAAUCCAACAAGGCCGCCCGGCGUGUCGAUGAUCCCGAUAGGAGCCGAGUAUCUCGUUCUCAGGACACGAUGGAUAAGCUACGCGUACGAGUGCCAAACCUCGAGUUUCCUCACGGUGGCCCCGCACAAUGCUCUGUUUUGGACCAGCACCAUCAGCACUGGCCCUACCUGUAUUAUGUAGAAUUACUCCUCGGGUAGCGCUAACUCCCUAUGCAUUUCAAUUUAACAGAAUUAUUAUGUUGGGCAAAUGUAGUACCAAUGUUGGGCCUUGCCAGACCAGCUUUAAUCUAAAACGAAUUAUCAAGGGGGUCCCCAUAACACCCCCGAUCGUGUUAGGAGCACUCAAUUAUGGAACAUAACACCGGUAGCCGAAACUAAGGGGGGCAAAGGUGGAACAAAACACCAGGCUAGAAAGGCCGAGCCUUCCACCUUUUACCAAGUAUAUAGGUGCAUUAAAUUAAAUAGCAUUAAUAUGGUGAUAUGACAAGGACCCAUGCUUUCACAUGGAAGAAACUGCACCUGCAACUAGCAACGCUAACACAAGGUUAAGCAAGCGGUAACAUAGCCAAUCAGUGGUUUGCUAGGUCGAACAGGUUGAAGGUUUUCAUGGCAUUGUUGAGAGGCUGAUAUUUAACAUGUGGUAGGCAACGAGACAUAAACGAUAGAAGCGAUAAAACUAGCAUGGCAAUUAUAGUAAUGGUAUCUGGGGAAAUGGUCAUCUUGCCUGAGAUCCCGCUUGGAAUAAGAAUGCCUCCGUGAAGCAGACGAACCGACGUAGUCGAACGGGUCCUCACAAUCCGGCACGCUGCGAAACUCUAUCGAGACGAAGCAAACCGAAAACAAAAAUCAACACACGGAAUUCACCACACGAUGCACAACACAUAUGAUGCAUGAGCAGCUGAAUACAUGCAAGUCACGACAUGACAAUUCACGCAUACAGACACUACACAUUAAGUGAAGUUCAAUAUGCAACGAGUUGCAUAUUGACGAAACUCCACAUAUGAAUUAUUUAGGUCACUCCCGGUUAUUUACACGACAAUAUUAAUGUUGUCAAACAUGCAAGAGGUGAAGUGGAAAUUAAACUACCUAUCUAGACAUUUUAAAUGAGGUCGGAAAUGACAUAUAGCAUCUCCGAGACUACCUCACAUGCUAAUUUACAAUUCUGACCAGAUCUGAACGAACACAUUUAAAUAGUUGUUAAACAGAAAAACAAAUAGGUUCACGUGAUUCUACGCAUUAUUUCAAGCAAACUACAUAUAAAGAACAUCUCCAACGGAGCUACGGAUCAAAAGUUACAAGCACCGCAAGAUAUGAUGGCAUGAAUGCAAUAUGUGUGCAACGACGGUCACGAGCACUUCAAAACAUACAACCAGCAAGAGAAAAUGAAACUACACGAGAUUCUAAGCAAGUUUCAUGUAGGACGCGAUCAAAUCGGAGCUACGGUUCAACAACUACGAGCAAAACAAGAAAUCACUACAAUCUGUCAAAAUCAGCCACAUAGCAUUUUCUACGCCCCACAACUACGGGCUACACAACUCCGAUAAACUCAAGCAAGGCAUGACACGAAAGAGGGCAAGAAGCACUACUACAAACAACUAACAACAACUAGCAUGGCAUCAUGGAUCACUAGGGUAAGAAGACACAAAAAUGGCAUCUCACACACUAUUUCAGACUUAGUGAAAAUAACACUUCAUGAAAGUGCAGUUUUCGAUCUGAAGUCAUAUUGACAGCAACAAAACCUAUAGCUACAGGACUCCAAAUGGCAUGAAAAUUCACCGCAUGCUAGAGAAACACAAGGGCUACAACUAACUCCAUUGGACCAACCUCAAAAGAGCUACAGAUCACAAGAUACAAGCAAGACAAGACAACAACAAAAUAUAACAGAUUCCAUACUUAGAAAUAUUUCAGCACCUCCAAAUCAGCACUAUUUCUAGCAACUUGAGAGCAAGCAAACCACACCUAAACAUGCAUUUCUAUUGCAACCAAAAAUACCAGGGGCUAGACUAAACAUCCAAGAACAACUCCCUAGUUGACAACUUAAUCAAACGAAGCACGAAAUAAAUCCUACGAAAUAAACAAGAGGGCAACAUAGCAAAAUAUCGCGCGAACUAACUUGCUCUAAUGCUAAAACUAAUUGCACAGAAAAAUCCCCGGAAACAUAUAAAAAAUGUGGGGUUGCACAACAAAAAAUAUCGCCACACGUAAAUACGGGAGAAUGUCCUAAACACGGAAAAAUAAACUAGCGGCAAUUCCUACUCGCAAAAAUACCAACGCCUACUCUAAAAUACAUGGCAAUGGGGUUCCUAAAAUGUGAACAUUUCUACCACGGCAUUCGAACAACCCGGACACGCACGAGAAAAUAACACGGGACCAAGACGAUAUAAAUAGCACACAUAUCUAGGCAUUCGGCACGCUAAACUACAUCAAACAAAUAUGCAAGUUGUGAAAUUGUGUUCUAUGCGCAAAACUACACGAAAUCCAUAUACAAUACGUCGCGAUCCGACUAACGGAUAAAAAGAUACGGGCAUCUAAAUAUUUACCUAUUUAUCUGGAAUUUAUAUUAAUUCCUAAAUCAAGCUAAAUCAAUAAUGGGCCGAACGGGGUGCAAUACAGUAAGUUGCGCUGGGGGCAUGGGAUAGCUCACCUUGGGGGGGGGCUCGGGCCGGUUGGAGUAGUGGGCCGAGCAGGCCGAGGGACUCCUGGGCCGAAGGAGGCCGGCCCAGCUCGGCGCUGGAGAGCCCACUCGCGGAGGCGAGCGCUAGGGCACGCGCUGGCGAGGAGCGGUCCUUCCCUCGUCGGCUGCUCCCGAGCCCGCAGGCCGGCGGCGGCGACGCAAGACGGCGAGGUGGGGCUUCAGGCCGGCGACCUCGAAGGCAGCCAGCGGCGGGGAUGGAUCCGGCGGGGAGGUGGCCGCGGGAUCCGGCGAGGAAGCGAGGUGCGGCCGACGACGAGGCUGUCUACUGCGGGUUGGACACGCGCGACUUCUCGGCGAGGGCUCCGGUCGGGGCACGCCGGCGACGGCGAGCCGAGCAGGCGACGGUGACUCCCUGGCAGGCGGCGGCCGGCGGCAUGAGGCACAGGUUCGACCGGCUGGAGGAGCUCGGGCGCAGAGAGCUCUGCAGACGGCGGCGCUCGCCAUAUUGGCUCGGCCGGGCACGAUCUGGGCCUGGCGGGCCCGGCGGCACUGAGGAGGAGGUGUUGUGGGGAGAGAGAGGGUGCAGGAGAGACUAGGGUUUGCACGCUUUUCGAGGCAAAGGAGGGGGCUGUCUGAAAAUAAGCACGAGGGGAUUAUUUAUAGGCAAAGGGGGGGGGCUAGGUUUAGCGGUUUUUCGUCCCGGAUCCAACCGCGCGGUCGGAUUCGACUAAUUCCGAAUGCGUGACGGACGAGUGGCUGUGUAGAGUAUGUAUCCGGAGACGAGAGGGAAAGCGGGCGGCGCGGCAACGAUAUUUAAAACAUCGACAAACGUCCGACGGUAGACCGAAGACGGUGCCGCUACGGUCGACCAUUCGGGCACCAGACGAACCCUGAUCGCGAUGAAAUUCGACAGGCGGCCUAGCUAUAACUAAUCACGACUGCAUGUCAAGUUUCACCUUGACUAGAGAAAGUUUCCAACACACUUUUAAAACAGGGUUUGACGAUGCCGCGGGCGCGUGCGAGUGUGAACGGGCUCAGAACGAACAACGACGAGAACCGGCAACUAACAACGGAUGCAAGUUUGAAAACUCGCGACAACGGAGAUGCCGAUGCAAUGCAUAUGAUGUGAAUGAUGCGAUGACGAUGCAACAAAUAAAAAUACCCACACUACGGAAACGGAAAGGAAAGGAGAAUCUUCUGGAACGUCGAUCUCGGGCUGUCACAUCAUACUAGAUACCCAUAGCAGCCACGUAAAACAUGCAACAACAAAUUAGAGGAUGUCUAACUUGUUUUUGCAGGGUAUGCAUGUGAUGUGAUAUGGCCAAAGACAUGAUGUGAUAUAUUGGAUGUAUGAGAUGAUCAUGUUAUAACAGUUAAAUAUCGACUUGCACGUCGAUGCUACAACAACCGGCAGGAGCCAUAGGGUUGUCUUUAAACUAAUGUUUGUGUUUGGAGAUGCGUUUACUAUAUUGCCAGGUUGUAGCUUUAGUAGUAAUAGCAUAGAUAGCACGACAACCUCGAUGGUGGCACGAUGAUGGAGAUCAUGGUGUGGCGUCGGUGACAAUGAAGAUCAUGCCGGUGCUUUGGUGAUGGAGAUCAAGAAGCACAAGAUCAUGGCCAUAUUAUGUCGCUUACGAAUUGCAUGUGAUGUUAAUCCUUUUUAUGCACCUUAUUUUGCUUAGAACGAUGGUAGAAUUAUAAGGUGAUCCAUCACUAAAAUUUCAAGAUAAAAUUGUGUUCUCCCCGACUGUGCACCGUUGCGACAGUUCGUCGUUUCGAGACACCACGUAAUGAUCGGGUGUGAUAGACUCAACGUUCACAUACAACGGGUGCAAAACAGUUGCACACGCGGAACAUUUGGGUUAAACUUGACGAGCCUAGCAUGUACAAACAUGACCUCGGAACACAAGAGACCGAAAGGUCGAGCAUGAAUCAUAUAGUUGAUAGGAUCAACAUGGAGAUGUUCACCACUGAAACUAUACUCAACUCACGUGAUGAUCGGACUUGAGUUAGUGGAUUUGGAACAUGCGCCACUCAAAUGACUAGAGGGAUGUCUAUUUUGAGUGGGAGUUCUUAGUAAUAUGAUUAGCUAAACUCAAUUAUCAUGAACAUAGUCAAAAAGGUCUUUGCAAAUUAUGUUGUAGCUUGCGCUGUAGCUCUACCGUUUUUAUAUGUUCCUAGAGAAAAUUUAGUUGAAAGAUGAUAGUAGCAAUUCUGCGGACUGAGUCUGUAAACUGAGGAUUGUCUUCAUUGCUACGCAGAAGGCUUAUGUCCUUAAUGCACCGCUCGGUGUGCUGAACCUCGAGCGUCGUAUGUGGAUGUUGCGAACAUCCAACAUACACGUUUUUGAUGACUACGUGAUAGUUCAGGGCAUAAUGCUUAACGACUUAGAAUUGGGGCGUCGAAGACGUUUUGAAACGUCACGGAACAUAUGAGAUGUUCCAAGAGAUGAAAUUGGAAUUUCAUGCUCGUGCCCUUGCUAAGAGGUAUGAGAUCUCCGACAAGAUUCUUUGUCUACAAAGUAAGGGAGAAAAGCUCAAUCGUUGAGCAUGUGCUCAGAUUGUCUGAGUACUACAAUUGCUUGAAUCGAGUGGGAGUUGAUCUUCCAGAUGAGAUAGUGAUGGUUCUCCAAAGUCACUGCCAUCGAGCUACUAGAGCUUCGUGAUGAACUAUAAAAUAUCAAGGAUACAUAUGAUGAUCCUUGAUCUAUUCGCAAUGUUUGACACUGCGAAAGUAGAAAUCAAGUAGGAGCAUCAAUUGUUGAUGGUUAGUAAAACCACUAGUUUCAAGAAAGGGCAAGGGUAAGAAGGGAUACUUUAUGAAACGGCAAAACAGUUGCUGCUCUAAUGAAGAAACCCAGGGUUGAACCCAAACCCGAGACUAAGUGCUUCUGUUAUGAGGGAAACGGUCACUUAGGCGGAACUACCCUAGAUACUUGGUAGAUGAGAAGGCUGGCAAAGUCAACAAAAGUAUAUAGGAUAUACCUGAUAUUGAUGUGUACCUUACUAGUAUUCCUAGUAGCACCAGGGUAUUAGAUACCGGUUCAGUUGCUAAGUGUUAGUAACUCAAAGUUAUAGCUACGGAUUAGAAGGAUACUAGCAAGGGUGAGGUGACGAUGUGUGUUGGAAGUAAUUCUAAGGUUGAUGUGAUCAAAUAUCGCACGUUCCCUCUCCCAUUGGGAUUGGUGUUAAACCUAAAUAAUUUUUAUUUGGUGUUUGCGUUGAGCAUGAACAUGAUUGGAUCGUGGUUAUUGCAAUACGAUUAUUCAUUUAAAGAGAAUAAUGGUUAUUCUAUUUGCUUGAAUAAUUACCUUCAAUGGUUUAUUGAAUCUCGAUCAUAGUGCUACACAUGUUCAUAAUAUUGAUGCCAAAAGAUACAAAGUAGUAAUGAUAGUACCACUUACUUGUGGCACUACCACUUGAGUCAUGUUGGUAUAAAUUGCAUGAAGAAGCUCCAUGAUGAUGGAUCUUUGUACUCACUCAUUUUUGAAACGUUUGAGACAUGUAAACCAUACUUAUUGGUAUAAACGCAUGAAGAAACUCCAUGCAGAUGGAUCGUUUGGACAAACUUGAUUUUGAAUCACUUGAGACAUGCAAAUUAUACCACAUGGGCAAGAUGACAGAAUGCCUGGUUUUUCCAGUGAGAUGGAACAAGAAAGUAACUUGUUGGAAGUAAUACAUUUUUGAUGUGUGCAGUCCAAUGAGUGCCGAGGCACGCAGUGGAUAUCGUUAUGUUCUUACUUCACUGACGAUUUGAGUAGAUAUAGGAGUAUUUACUUGAUGAAUGACAAGUCUGAAAUAUUUAAAAGUUCAAAGCUAUUUCAGAGUGAAGAUCGUCGUGACAAGAUGAUAAACUGUCUACGAUAUGAUCAUAGAGAUGAAUAUCUGAGUUGCGAGUUUUGGUACACAGUUAAGACAAUGUGGAAAUUGUUUCGCAAUUCAUGCCACCUAGAACACCAUAGUGUGAUGGUGUGUCCGAACGUCAUAGCCGCGCCCUAUUGGAGAUAGCGGAUACUAUGAUGUCUCUUAUCGAAAUACCAUUAUUAUUUUGGGUUAGGCAUUAGAGACAACCGCAUUCACUUUAAAUAGGGCACCACGUAAUUCCGUUGAGAUGACAUCGUAUGAACUAUGGUUUGGAGAAACCUAAGUUGUCGAAACCUAAGCUGUCGUUUCUUGAAAGUUUGGGGCUACGAUGCUUAUGUGAAAAAGUUUCAGUCUGAUAAGCUCGAACCCAAAGCGGAUAAAUGCAUCUUCAUAGGAUAUCCAAAACAGUUGGGUACAUCUCCUAUCUCAGAUCCAGAAGCAAAUUGUUUGGUUCUAGAAAUGGGUCCUUUCUCGAGGAAAGGUUUCGCUCGAAAGAAUUGAGAGGGAGGGUGGUGGAACUUGAUGAGGUUAUUGAACCAUCACUUCAACCAGUGUGUAGCAGGGCGCAGGAAGUUGUUCAUGUGGCGCCUACGCCAGUUGAAGUGGAAACUGAUGAUAGUGAUCAUUAAGCUUCGGAUCAAGUUACUACAAACCUCGUAGGUCGACAAGGUCGCGUACUGCUACAGAGUAGUACGGUAACCCUGUCUUGGAGGUCAUGUUGUUGAACAACAAUGAACCUACGAGCUAUGGAGAAGCGAUGGUGGGCCCGGAUUCCGGCAAAUGGUGGAGGCCAUGAAGUCCGAGAGAGGAUCCGUGUAUAAAAACAAAGUAUAGACUUUGGAAGAACUAAUUUAUGGUCGUAAGACUAUUAAGUACAUAUGGAUCUUUAAAAGGAAGACAGACGAUGAUGGUGAAAAGUCACCAUUAAGAAAAGCUCAACUUAUCGCAAAAGAUGUUUCCGACAAGUUCAAAGAGUUGACCAUGAUGAGACUUUCUCACUCGUAGUGAUGCUAAAAGUCUGUUGGAAUUAUGUUCGCAGUUGCUGCAUUAUUUAUGAAAUAUUGCACAUAGGAUGUCAAAACAUUGUUUCCUCGACGGUUUCCUUGAGGAAAGGUUGUAUGUGAUACAACCAGAAGGUUUUGUGGAUCCUAAGGAUGCUAACAAGUAUGCAAGCUCCAGCGAUCCUUCUAUGGACUCGUGCAAACAUCUCGGAGUUGGAAUAUACGCUUUGAUGAGAUGAUCAAAGCUUUUGGGUUUAUACAAGGUUUAUGAGAAACUUGUAUUUCCAAAGAAGUGAGUGGGAGCACUAUAGAAUUUCUGAUAAGUAUAUGUGGAUAGAGCUAAUGUUGAUCGGAAGUAAUGUAGAAUUUUUUGAUCGGAAGUAAUGUAGAAUUUCUGGAAAGCAUAAAGGGUUGUUUGAAAGGAAUUUUUCAAAGGAAAACCUGGAUAGAGCUACUUGAAUAUUGAGCAUCAAGAUCUAUAGAGAUAGAUCAAAACGCUAAAUAGAACUUUCAAUGAAAUGCAUGCCUUGACAGGUUUUUGAAGGAGUUCAAAAUAGUCAGCAAAGAAGGAGUUCUUGGCUGUGUUGUAAGGUGUGAAUUUGAGUUAGACUCAAAGCCCGACCACGACAUAAGAAAGAGAAAGGACGAAGGUCGUCCCCUAUGCCUUAGCCGUAGGCUCUAAAGUAUGCCAUGUUGUGUACCGCACCUGAUGUGUGCCUUGCCAUAAGUCUGUCAAGGGGUACAAAGAGUGAUCCAGGAUUGAAUCACGGAACAACGGUCAAAGUUAUCCAUAGUAACUAAUGGACUAAGGAAUUUUUCUUGAUUAUGGAGGUGAUUAAUGAGUUCGCCCUAAAGGGUUACAUCGAUGCAAGCUUUGACACUAAUCAGAAUAACUUUAAGGAGUAAAGCAGAUUCGUAUAGUGGAGUAGUCAUUUGGAAUAGUUCCAAAUGGCACGUAGUAGAAGCAUCUACAGGAUACCAUUGGUAUUUGUAAAGCACACACAGAUCUGAAAGGUUCAGACUCAUUGACUAAAACCUCUCUCACAAGCAAGACGUGAUCAAACCCCAGAACUGUAUGGGUGUUGGAUUCGUUGAAAUCACAUAGUGAUGUGAACUAGAUUAUCGACUCUAGUGCAAGUGGGAGACUGUGGGAAAUAUGCCCCAGAGGCAAUAAUAAAUUAGUUAUUAUUAUAUUUCUUUGUUCAUGAUAAUCGUUUAUUAUCCAUGCUAUAAUUGUAUUGAUUGGAAACACAAAAUAAAUGUGUGGAUACAUAGACAAAACAUUGUCCCUAGUACGCCUCUAGUUGACUAGCUCCUUGAUCAAAGAUGGUCAAGGUUUCCUGACCAUAGACAAGUGUUAUCACUUGAUAACGGGAUCACAUCAUUGGGAGAAUGAUGUGAUGGACAAGACCCAAACUAUAAAUGUAGUAUAUGAUCGUGCCAGUUUAUUGCUACUAUUUUCUGCAUAUCAAUGUAUGUGUUCCUAUGACCAUGAGAUCAUGCAACUCCCGGACACCGGAGGAAUACCUUGUGUGUAUCAAACGCCGCAACGUAACUGGGUCACUAUAAAGGUGCUCUACAGGUAUCUACAAAGGUGUCUGUUGGGUUGGCAUGGAUCAAGACUGGGAUUUGUCACUCCGUGUGACGGAGAGGUAUCU